RNAcentral lists this ribosomal RNA (422 nucleotides) under uncultured bacterium. RNAcentral's name for it is "bacterial SSU rRNA". It matches the Rfam family "Bacterial small subunit ribosomal RNA", at positions 355 to 774 of the family's 1533-position model. The record is from RNAcentral.
UAAGGAAUAUUGGACAAUGGAGGCAACUCUGAUCCAGCCAUGCCGCGUGAAGGAAUAAGGCCCUAUGGGUUGUAAACUCCUUUUAGACGGGACAAAACCCCUUUACUUGUAAAGGGUUGAUGGUACUGUCAGAAUAAGCAUCGGCUAACUUCGUGCCAGCAGCCGCGGUAAUACGAAGGAUGCAAGCGUUAUCCGGAAUUAUUGGGUUUAAAGGGUGCGUAGGCGGACUAAUAAGUCAGUGGUGAAAGCCUGCAGCUUAACUGCAGAAUUGCCAUUGAUACUGUUAGUCUUGAGUACAGUUGAGGUAGGCGGAAUGUGUCAUGUAGCGGUGAAAUGCUUAGAUAUGACACAGAACACCGAUUGCGAAGGCAGCUUGCUAAGCUGUAACUGACGCUGAGGCACGAAAGCGUGGGGAGCAAACA